RNAcentral lists this ribosomal RNA (366 nucleotides) under Haemophilus influenzae. RNAcentral's name for it is "bacterial LSU rRNA". It matches the Rfam family "Bacterial large subunit ribosomal RNA", at positions 454 to 722 of the family's 2925-position model. The record is from RNAcentral. Lineage: Bacteria; Pseudomonadati; Pseudomonadota; Gammaproteobacteria; Pasteurellales; Pasteurellaceae.
CAUCCUCCAAGGCUAAAUACUCCUGAUUGACCGAUAGUGAACCAGUACUGUGAAGGAAAGGCGAAAAGAACCCCGGUGAGGGGAGUGAAAUAGAACCUGAAACCUUGUACGUACAAGCAGUGGGAGCCCCAUCACUUAAUCCGAUUGGAAGGUGAUGAAAAGCAACCGCACUUAAACAAUGGUAAGAGGAGCGAAGCGAGUCAAACCACCCAAAAGAAGCAGUGGGAUUAAGUGAUGGGGUGACUGCGUACCUUUUGUAUAAUGGGUCAGCGACUUAUAUUUUGUAGCGAGGUUAACCGAAUAGGGGAGCCGAAGGGAAACCGAGUCUUAACUGGGCGAAUAGUUGCAAGGUAUAGACCCGAAACC